This 253-nucleotide ribosomal RNA is filed under the name uncultured bacterium. Its description in RNAcentral is "partial 16S ribosomal RNA". It matches the Rfam family "Bacterial small subunit ribosomal RNA", at positions 524 to 776 of the family's 1533-position model. The record is from RNAcentral.
UACGGAGGGUGCGAGCGUUGUCCGGAAUCACUGGGCGUAAAGGGCGCGUAGGCGGCCUGAUAAGUAGGGGGUGAAAUCCUGCGGCUUAACCGCAGGGCUGCCUUCUAAACUGUCGGGCUAGAGCACGGUAGAGGCAGAUGGAAUUCCCGGUGUAGCGGUGGAAUGCGUAGAGAUCGGGAAGAACAUCAGUGGCGAAGGCGGUCUGCUGGGCCGUUGCUGACGCUGAGGCGCGGCAGCGUGGGGAGCAAACAGG